UGCAUUAGUUCUUGUGAGAGUAGAAUGUC
RNAcentral lists this non-coding RNA (29 nucleotides) under Mus musculus (house mouse). Lineage: Eukaryota; Metazoa; Chordata; Mammalia; Rodentia; Muridae. The record is from RNAcentral.